AAAUUGAAGAGUUUGAUCAUGGCUCAGAUUGAACGCUGGCGGCAGGCCUAACACAUGCAAGUCGAACGGUAACAGAAAGCAGCUUGCUGCUUUGCUGACGAGUGGCGGACGGGUGAGUAAUGUCUGGGAAACUGCCUGAUGGAGGGGGAUAACUACUGGAAACGGUAGCUAAUACCGCAUAACGUCGCAAGACCAAAGAGGGGGACCUUAGGGCCUCUUGCCAUCGGAUGUGCCCAGAUGGGAUUAGCUAGUAGGUGGGGUAAAGGCUCACCUAGGCGACGAUCCCUAGCUGGUCUGAGAGGAUGACCAGCCACACUGGAACUGAGACACGGUCCAG
Molecule: ribosomal RNA, 337 nt
Filed under: Escherichia coli
Lineage: Bacteria; Pseudomonadati; Pseudomonadota; Gammaproteobacteria; Enterobacterales; Enterobacteriaceae
Description: bacterial SSU rRNA
Rfam family: Bacterial small subunit ribosomal RNA
Source: RNAcentral